This 345-nucleotide long non-coding RNA is filed under the name Phaseolus vulgaris (common bean). RNAcentral describes it as "long non-coding RNA (PVUL_LNC004930)". Lineage: Eukaryota; Viridiplantae; Streptophyta; Magnoliopsida; Fabales; Fabaceae. The record is from RNAcentral.
UACUUGAUUCACCUGCACCUUCGCCACACCAUUUCUCAUCAAAUUCUUCAAAUUUACGGACCCCACAAUUCACUGCAUCAGCUUCAAUCAAUUUGUAAUUCACAAAUUGAAUUCAAAUGCAGACAUACUUUUUUUUAUUUAAUUAAAAUCUGCACCAAAAUGAUCAACAAUUUCAAGCAAUCAAAUCUAAAUCAGAACAGCUAAUAUGAAGACCUACGAUUGUCAAUUGCAAUUUUAAAAUUCACCAACAGCUUCACUUUGCCAAUUUCACAAGCUAAACCGGAAAAUUCUGCAUCAAGACUUGCACCAGUAAAAUUCUUGCUUCAACAAAAUUGAACCANNNNN